This 238-nucleotide ribosomal RNA is filed under the name uncultured bacterium. RNAcentral's name for it is "partial 16S ribosomal RNA". It matches the Rfam family "Bacterial small subunit ribosomal RNA", at positions 96 to 334 of the family's 1533-position model. The record is from RNAcentral.
CGGCGGACGGGUGAGUAACGCGUGGGUAACCUGCCUCAUACAGGGGGAUAACAGUUGGAAACGGCUGCUAAUACCGCAUAAGCGCACAGUACCGCAUGGUACAGUGUGAAAAACUCCGGUGGUGUGAGAUGGAUCCGCGUCUGAUUAGCCAGUUGGCGGGGUAACGGCCCACCAAAGCGACGAUCAGUAGCCGACCUGAGAGGGUGACCGGCCACAUUGGGACUGAGACACGGCCCAA